GGGCGAAUGGUUUAGUGGUAUAAUACUCCCUUAGCAUGAUGAAACUGCAGAAAUUCGACAUCUGACAUACAGUGCGACAAUUGGGAGUGGUCCAGGGUUCGAUUCCCUGUUCGUCCA
This is a non-coding RNA of Claviceps spartinae, 117 nucleotides long. The record is from the annotation of a GenBank genome assembly. Lineage: Eukaryota; Fungi; Ascomycota; Sordariomycetes; Hypocreales; Clavicipitaceae.